UGGGUUUGACAUGCACGUGGUAAAACCGGGAAACCGGGAUGACCCGCAAGGGAGCGUGCACAGAUGCUGCAUGGCUGUCGUCAGCUCGUGCCGUGAGGUGUUGGGUUAAGUCCCGCAACGAGCGCAACCCUCGCUGCCAGUUACCAUGUCUGGCGGGACCGCCGGGUCCAACCCGGAGGAAGGUGGGGAUGACGUAUUCUACG
Molecule: unclassified non-coding RNA, 203 nt
Filed under: uncultured Chloroflexota bacterium
Lineage: Bacteria; Bacillati; Chloroflexota
Description: uncultured Chloroflexi bacterium contains 16S-23S intergenic spacer region
Rfam family: Bacterial small subunit ribosomal RNA
Source: RNAcentral